RNAcentral lists this unclassified non-coding RNA (188 nucleotides) under soil metagenome. RNAcentral's name for it is "partial contains 5.8S ribosomal RNA, internal transcribed spacer 2, and large subunit ribosomal RNA". The record is from RNAcentral.
AAGACUAUAGACCUGCGGAGUACCUGCGGAAGGAUCAUUAACGAAUGAUCAUCCUUGAUCUUCCAACCCUCAAACCAUCCGUGGAUGCAAGCUGUGCUUCGGCGUCGAGAGGCGCCGCCUUUAUGCCUCAUCAAGUCUUUUUAUUCAUGUGAAUUGAAAAAUGUCAAAACUUUUAACAACGGAUCUCU